This 155-nucleotide unclassified non-coding RNA is filed under the name uncultured Cephalotheca. RNAcentral describes it as "sequence contains ITS2". Lineage: Eukaryota; Fungi; Ascomycota; Sordariomycetes; Cephalothecales; Cephalothecaceae. The record is from RNAcentral.
CAACCCUCAAGCACUGCUUGGUGUUGGGGCACUACGCGCUGAGCGUAGGCCCCGAAAAUCAGUGGCGGGCCCGCCGUGGCUCCGGGCGUAGUAGCAACACCUCGCCCUGGACGCGCGGCGCGCUCCGGCCGUUAAACCCCCCACUACACAGAAGG